GCGGGGCUGUGAGGCCCGACAGGAGCAUUUCCCCGGGGCCUUAACGAUCCCAAGGGAGCUGUACCUGCCCAGGUCCGUGGACCUGGGCAUACGGCGCCCACCUACUUUGUAGGUUUCCCGGGAUCGCACUCCAUCGGCCAUUGUGGCUCCGCA
RNAcentral lists this non-coding RNA (153 nucleotides) under Camelimonas lactis. Its description in RNAcentral is "6S / SsrS RNA". It matches the Rfam family "6S / SsrS RNA". From Rfam's summary of the family: E. coli 6S RNA was the first non coding RNA to be sequenced, but its function was unknown until recently. It consists of 184 nucleotides that fold into an extended hairpin structure with a large single-stranded internal bulge. RNAcentral also lists the same sequence under 2 other names. Lineage: Bacteria; Pseudomonadati; Pseudomonadota; Alphaproteobacteria; Hyphomicrobiales; Chelatococcaceae. The record is from Rfam by way of RNAcentral.